This 786-nucleotide long non-coding RNA is filed under the name Homo sapiens (human). RNAcentral describes it as "non-protein coding lnc-CITED2-7:1". Lineage: Eukaryota; Metazoa; Chordata; Mammalia; Primates; Hominidae. The record is from RNAcentral.
CCUGAACAUGUUCCUGCCUUCCACCUUAUUAGUAUCUUGAAAAGACACAUUGCCAGUUACCAUACUGUUUGUUUAAAUACUUCUGAGCCAAAUAACAAAGAAAAAUGGUAAAAACAUUGGUCAUUAAACUUUCCUUAAAUAACUCUUUUUUCUUACUUUUAUACACGGAAUUGGUUUCUAUUAAACAAGAUAUGCGAAUCCCUUUAAAUUAUAUUUUGCAUAUGCUUAUCUUGUCAUCUUAAAAUGUGUUAAUACUGUAUAAAAUAAGUGCUCAUGAAAAAAUAUCUAGAUAAUUUUUUAUGUACUACCUUCUAGUUUUUUCAAUUAUCCACAAAACCAAAAGUGAGCUCCUUUAGUUACAGGUUAUAAUUAAUAUAAAUGAUUACAGAGAAAGAGGAACAUGUAUGCAAGAUAAUAAAUAUGGUUUGAAAGUUCAUUAAGGGAAUUUUUUUCAGUUUAUUAAAAUGGUAAUGUAAAAAUAAUACAUGCAUAUUGAUAAUAUAUAAGCGAUUAAGUUAAUUACAUUUAAAAGAUAAGAUUAAAAGCUUCAACUUUAUCUUCUCUUUGCAUGGAUGUAUGUAUGUCUUAGCAAUACAUAAAAAUAUAUAAAUACCUAUAAAUAUAUAUAUUACAUACACAAAAUAUAUGAACAUUAAUUCAAAGGCUUAUACAUAAUUUUAAAUGACAAAUUUAACAGCAUAUUGUCAAUGAAAAAUAUUCAUGAGAAGAAAAUUUAUUUAUCUGACAAAGGCAUAUCAGGUACUGUGAACAACUAACACAAAAGUA